Molecule: ribosomal RNA, 583 nt
Filed under: uncultured bacterium
Lineage: Bacteria
Description: partial 16S ribosomal RNA
Rfam family: Bacterial small subunit ribosomal RNA
Source: RNAcentral
UGGGGAAUUUUGGACAAUGGGCGCAAGCCUGAUCCAGCCAUGCCGCGUGCGGGAAGAAGGCCUUCGGGUUGUAAACCGCUUUUGUCAGGGAAGAAAUCUUCUGAGUUAAUACCUCGGGAGGAUGACGGUACCUGAAGAAUAAGCACCGGCUAACUACGUGCCAGCAGCCGCGGUAAUACGUAGGGUGCAAGCGUUAAUCGGAAUUACUGGGCGUAAAGCGUGCGCAGGCGGUUUUGUAAGACAGAGGUGAAAUCCCCGGGCUCAACCUGGGAACUGCCUUUGUGACUGCAAGGCUUGAGUGCGACAGAGGGGGAUGGAAUUCCGCGUGUAGCAGUGAAAUGCGUAGAUAUGCGGAGGAACACCGAUGGCGAAGGCAAUCCCCUGGGCCUGCACUGACGCUCAUGCACGAAAGCGUGGGGAGCAAAACAGGAUUAGAUACCCUGGUAGUCCACGCCCUAAACGAUGUCAACUGGUUGUUGGGAAGGUUCCUUCUCAGUAACGUAGCUAACGCGUGAAGUUGACCGCCUGGGGAGUACGGCCGCAAGGUUGAAACUUAAAUGAAUUGACGGGGUCAUAGCUGUUU